RNAcentral lists this microRNA precursor (81 nucleotides) under Marmota monax (woodchuck). The record is from RNAcentral. Lineage: Eukaryota; Metazoa; Chordata; Mammalia; Rodentia; Sciuridae.
AGUGGAAUUGCUAGGUCAUAUUUCAAGUCUGUGUUUCACUUUCCCAAAGCAGCUGCACCAUUUUGCAUUCCCUCCAGCAAU